RNAcentral lists this unclassified non-coding RNA (330 nucleotides) under soil metagenome. Its description in RNAcentral is "partial contains 5.8S ribosomal RNA, internal transcribed spacer 2, and large subunit ribosomal RNA". The stretch from base 1 to 121 matches the Rfam family "5.8S ribosomal RNA", at positions 35 to 154 of the family's 154-position model. The record is from RNAcentral.
GAUGAAGAACGUAGCGAAAUGCGAUAAGUAAUGCGAAUUGCAGAAUUUCCGUGAAUCAUCGAAUCUUUGAACGCACAUUGCGCCCCUUGGUAUCCCGAGGGGCAUGCCUGUUCGAGCGUCAUUUCACCACUCAAGCCUGGCUUGGUGUUGGGCGACGUCCUCUUUGGGGACGCGCCUCGAAACGCUCGGCGGCGUGGCACCGGCUUUAAGCGUAGCAGAAUCUUUCGCUUUGGAAGUCGGGGCCCCGUCUGCCGGAAGACCUGCUCGCAAGGUUGACCUCGGAUCAGGCAGGGAUACCCGCUGAACUUAAGCAUAUCAAUAAGCGGAGGA